GUCCCGUAAGUAUCUAUGCCAAUUGUGUGUAAUUAUAGUCCUAAACGGAAGUCUUGUCUAUGACUUAAAACUCCGCCCGAUGACUAAAACAAUAUCCUGGCGCCUUUAUUCGCGUUUUCCUAUAAAUAUAAACUAGGCAGAAUAAUCACAAGCGAGAAAGACAAAUGUGACUUUGCAUGGUACCUAUAUAACACAAAGGUAUGAUGGUUAAUUUAUUAAAGGAAUGACUG
This 230-nucleotide long non-coding RNA is filed under the name Mytilus galloprovincialis (Mediterranean mussel). Lineage: Eukaryota; Metazoa; Mollusca; Bivalvia; Mytilida; Mytilidae. The record is from RNAcentral.